Eurytemora carolleeae is the source of this 199-nucleotide long non-coding RNA. RefSeq lists it as uncharacterized. NCBI's taxonomy places the organism in Eukaryota, Metazoa, Arthropoda, Copepoda, Calanoida, Temoridae. The transcript has 3 exons. The record is from RefSeq and is a predicted model, not a curated record.
UAUUCAUUAAAUUGUUUUACAAUUAUUGAUCCAGGAGGAGAAGGAGAUAAGAAAAGAAUUCAGGAAAUUGGAUUCUGAUUCUAGUGGAUAUAUUACCAGAGAUGAGAUGUUAGCAGUCCUCACAAACUGCGAUCACUUCACGGGCGACAAGAUGGACGAAGCUAAAAAGUGUGUCGAUGAACUGGACGUUGACAGGAAU